ACGAACGCUGGCGGCAGGCCUAACACAUGCAAGUCGAGCGAGAUCUUCGGGUCUAGCGGCGGACGGGUGAGUAACGCGUGGGAAUAUGCCCUUCUCUGCGGAAUAGCCUCGGGAAACUGAGCGUAAUACCGCAUACGCCCUUUGGGGGAAAGAUUUAUCGGAGAAGGAUUAGCCCGCGUUGGAUUAGGUAGUUGGUGGGGUAACGGCCUACCAAGCCGACGAUCCAUAGCUGGUUUGAGAGGAUGAUCAGCCACACUGGGACUGAGACACGGCCCAGACUCCUACGGGAGGCAGCAGUGGGGAAUCUUAGACAAUGGGGGCAACCCUGAUCUAGCCAUGCCGCGUGAGUGAUGAAGGCCUUAGGGUUGUAAAGCUCUUUCAGCUGGGAAGAUAAUGACGGUACCAGCAGAAGAAGCCCCGGCUAACUCCAUG
Molecule: ribosomal RNA, 432 nt
Filed under: uncultured bacterium
Lineage: Bacteria
Description: partial 16S ribosomal RNA
Rfam family: Bacterial small subunit ribosomal RNA
Source: RNAcentral